Non-coding RNA from Saimiri boliviensis boliviensis (Bolivian squirrel monkey), 407 nucleotides. The record is from RefSeq and is a predicted model, not a curated record. Lineage: Eukaryota; Metazoa; Chordata; Mammalia; Primates; Cebidae.
UUAUUUUUCACUUGAAAGAUUUGCAUUCCCCUCGAAACCUGGAAACAACUUAGGUUUCCCCAAAAGGAGUGCCACGAAAGACAGAUGGCUUCAUCCUGAGGAAUAUUGAUCAGUGGCUGCACCACUCUGUCUUUCCCGGGGCUGGCCCUUGCAACCAGAUCUGUUCUCACUGCCUCAGUCUCCAAGGCCAGCUGCCUCGAGGAAUAAUAUCCAUUUCCCUGUGGACCUUAUAAGUCAUACUCGGGGAAGAGAUAUCCACAUCCUUGCACCCAAGGCAAUCUGUGGAAAGCAUCUGAUGGGAGGAGGCUGAGUCCUCUUCAGUUUGACGCUGUGGAUAUUGAACUACUCCGCUGAAGAACUGGCAACCCAGAGCCCUCCCAGUUCUCCUGCUGAAGUGCUCUUUCUAC